Long non-coding RNA from Apteryx haastii (Great spotted kiwi), 1749 nucleotides. NCBI's taxonomy places the organism in Eukaryota, Metazoa, Chordata, Aves, Apterygiformes, Apterygidae. The record is from Ensembl.
AUGAAAGGCAAUAUUUCUACUGCUUUGCCUGUAAUGACUGGAUCUUCCCCUCAAGUUGCUUCUCAAAUCCCUACAAACACUUCUUUGAGUCCUUCUGUAAUGCACACAGUAUCUAUACCACUGCCUUCUCUGAUUUCCUCCCUGAAACCCAAAUCUAUGGGAGGUGUCACUGUUAUCUCAAAGAAUCUUUAUAAAGAACCAUCCACUGUUUCAGUAUCUCUUCUAGUCAAUCCUGAAAUCUCUCAUGUGUCUAUUGCAAGUACAGCCCCAAAAGAAAAUAAAUAUGCAGUGCACACUGACUCCUUUUUGCUGUCAUCUACUUCUAAGAAGCCAAAGAAAUCCAUUAGUUCUACAGUCUUCCCUCUUAGGACAUUCGUAUUACCUCUAAAUGUUUCGUUAAUAACCACUUCAAAAAUUACAGAAUGCCCAAGCAGUCCACAUACAGAAUUGAAAACUGCCCCUGUGGCACAAAAAGCAGGCACUUUAAUUUCUAAAGAACCUUCUCUUACAAGUUCAUCGUCUUUGUUUUCAAUCUUUUUAUCAACAUCAAUACCAUCUUCUGUAACAUCCCAUUCUACAAGUUCUUCAUUGAUUCCCGUAUCUGGUAGGACAUCUUCAUUAACACAAAAUAUAACUGUUAGCCAAAUAUCGCUUUCAUCUCUAGAUACACAUGGAACCUCAAAAACUGCAAUUAUAGAUUUUGCAACCUCUUCUGUAGGUUUUUCUACAUUUACUUUAAACACCAGCCCUUCUACUAGCCUUUCAGCAGCACUAAAAACAUCCAUUAUAAUGCCCUAUUUGCUAACGCCUAAAACUCCUGAAGUCACUUUAGAAAGCCAGUUCAGUAGGGUCUCUGUGUCUUCACCUCCUCCUAAGACCACUCAUCUCUCUACUGUUUCUCUAGGAAAGCAGAGUUCUUCAGUAAGUACUUCAGCAGAAGAUGGAACAAAAUCUAUCAUAUCAGCUGGAAGCAUUGCUCAAUCCACUACAACAGUGACCAUGAAUAUAACUGUGAAUGCUACAUCCUUAAAAACAGGUUAUAUUUUUGCAAAAACACCACCUUCAGCCACUUUAUUAGUUACUUCUGGCACUACUAUAGCCCCUAGGAUUACUACAAAACCCACUGAUUCUCCUGUUGCUGACUUGAAAUUUUAUAUGGCUUCAGCUUCAGUUCCUGCUACCACAGAAAUACCUAUGCAUGUGGCACACAAAUUUUUAUUUACAUCUGCACCAUCUCAAGUUUCACAAAGCACUAAAGAAACUCUAAAAAUGACAGUCAUGAAAACAACUGGUACUGUAAGUCCGUUUUCACAGAUGAAGAGUACCUUGUUUACAGCUUCAGAAUUUAAAUAUGCAACAUCAUUUGAAAAAACUGCAGAUAUUUUAGAAAGCAGUCAGACUUCAAAUGUGCAAAGGAACGUCACCAAGACAAAGUUGACCACUACUGAGAAAUCUUCCAUGCCUUAUUUGACAGCAUUUGCAGUUCAGAGUUCACCUUUUUCAAGUAAAAAUGACACAACUUCAGUAAAAUCUCUCUCUCUCUCUGAAGUCCCAGAUGUAACAACAUCAGAUUGGUUUAAAAUCCUAACACAGAGAACUGUUAAACCUUAUUUUAAUUUAACAGAGCCCACAGAGUUGCAGAAUGGAACUGUAACGAACUUAUCUCAUUCCAGUGGUGAAAUGGUCCUGCCUUCCUCUUCAGAGCCUGUGCAUACACUUAUGUCUGCAUCUUCUGAAUGUGUGGUAUGA